RNAcentral lists this ribosomal RNA (486 nucleotides) under uncultured bacterium. Its description in RNAcentral is "partial 16S ribosomal RNA". It matches the Rfam family "Bacterial small subunit ribosomal RNA", at positions 28 to 523 of the family's 1533-position model. The record is from RNAcentral.
GAUGAACGCUGGCGGCGUGCUUAACACAUGCAAGUCGAACGGAAAGGCCCCAGCUUGCUGGGGUACUCGAGUGGCGAACGGGUGAGUAACACGUGAGUGAUCUGCCCUGUACUUUGGGAUAAGCUUGGGAAACUGGGUAUACUACCGAAUAUGACCGCUUCUUGGAUGGUGUGGUGGAAAGCUUUUGCGGUGUGGGAUGGGCCUGCGGCGUAUCAGCUUGUUGGUGGGGUAAGGGCCUACCAAGGCGGCGACGGGUAUCCGGCCUGAGUGGGUGUACGGACACAUUGGGACUGAGAUACGGCCCAGACUCCUACGGGAGGCAGCAGUGGGGAAUAUUGCACAAUGGGCGCAAGCCUGAUGCAGCGACGCCGCGUGGGGGAUGAAGGCCUUCGGGUUGUAAACUCCUUUCGCUAUCGACGAAGCCACUUGUGGUGACGGUAGGUAGAUAAGAAGCACCGGCUAACUACGUGCCAGCAGCCGCCGUAA